UGGGAUGCUUCUCAGAACCAGUUGCUGCC
RNAcentral lists this non-coding RNA (29 nucleotides) under Mus musculus (house mouse). The record is from RNAcentral. Lineage: Eukaryota; Metazoa; Chordata; Mammalia; Rodentia; Muridae.